Long non-coding RNA from Amyelois transitella, 712 nucleotides. RefSeq lists it as uncharacterized. NCBI's taxonomy places the organism in Eukaryota, Metazoa, Arthropoda, Insecta, Lepidoptera, Pyralidae. The record is from RefSeq and is a predicted model, not a curated record. The transcript is spliced from 2 exons.
GAUUUUGAAAUCCUCUUCCGUAAUGUGGAUACAUAUUAACUAUUUACUAAAAAACCUUUAUUUCAGUAAUAAAAUAAAGUUUAGCAAAUUUUAAAGCUAUUUUUCAAAUAUUAUUUGAAUAGCGCACAAAAACAGUACGCAACUGUCAUGGCGUCGGCUAUGACGUCACGUUUAGGUAAACACGUCAAUGUCAUUGCAUUGUUCAAUUCAAUUCAUAUGUGCAUUGAAGGAAACAAACAUAUUUCGUGUGUUAAAAAUGAAUUCUAAAGUUUAUAAGUGGUGUGCAGUACCUCAGUGCAAAAACACAUCCAUAAAAACACCCAACAAGGUGUCUGUACAUGUUCCAAACAAAAAAAUAAUGAGAGUUAAAUGGUUAAAGCUCGCACGGCGAGACCCGAACGACGUAAUCACGAAUUCGCCACUUUAUUUCUGUGAGGACCACUUUGAUUUACCUAAUGAUAUGGGAAAUUACUUGCAAUAUCAUGUGAUGGGGUCCGUAUCACAAGUACGUAUGAUACCAGGAUGUAUGCCCAAAAAAUUUAUAUGCCAAUCAGACAGGAAAACUCGAACAUCUGAGACAACAGAGCGACCCUACAUUGCUAAAAAACGAAAGAUGAUGAUUCUUGAAGAGUGUGAAAGGAAAUUAGAAGAAAAAGAUACAGUUACAAAACAGGUGCUUCGCGCUUCAAAAAUAAACAAUGAUAUUUGACAA